This 370-nucleotide long non-coding RNA is filed under the name Salvia miltiorrhiza (redroot sage). Its description in RNAcentral is "long non-coding RNA (SMIL_LNC000384)". The record is from RNAcentral. Lineage: Eukaryota; Viridiplantae; Streptophyta; Magnoliopsida; Lamiales; Lamiaceae.
CCAAAAUAUGGCCACUGUUUUUUGGAAAUGAUAUGUAAAAAUAUUAUUAAUUUUUUCUUUAUUUUAUCCAACAUAUUAUUCGAUCAAUUUAUUUUGGACUUUAACUAGUAAUUUUUUUCCUUAUCUUUUUUCUUUUAAUAUGACCACUUUUUUUUGGCAAUUGAUAUGCAUUAAUAUUAUUAAUUUUUAUUUAUUUUAUUUAACAAUUAUUUGGUUACUUUAUUUUGGACUCUAACUAUUAAUUUUUUCUUUAUCUUCUUUUUUUAAUAUAGCCACUUCUGUUUGCAAACGAUAUGCAUUAAUAUUAUUAUUUUUUCUUUAUUUUAUUUAACAUAUCAUUAGGUCACUUUAUCUUGGACUGCAACUGUUA